UACGUAUGGUGCAAGCGUUAUCCGGAUUUACUGGGUGUAAAGGGAGCGCAGGCGGCGCGUUAAGCCUGGUGUGAAAGCCCGCGGCCCAACCGCGGGACUGCAUUGGGAACUGGCGCGCUGGAGUGCCGGAGGGGUAGGCGGAAUUCCUAGUGUAGCGGUGAAAUGCGUAGAUAUUAGGGGGAACACCAGUGGCGAAGGCGGCCUACUGGACGGUGACUGACGCUGAGGCUCGAAAGCGUGGGGAGCAAACAGG
RNAcentral lists this ribosomal RNA (253 nucleotides) under uncultured bacterium. Its description in RNAcentral is "partial 16S ribosomal RNA". It matches the Rfam family "Bacterial small subunit ribosomal RNA", at positions 524 to 776 of the family's 1533-position model. The record is from RNAcentral.